RNAcentral lists this long non-coding RNA (423 nucleotides) under Homo sapiens (human). Its description in RNAcentral is "HSALNT0351786". Lineage: Eukaryota; Metazoa; Chordata; Mammalia; Primates; Hominidae. The record is from RNAcentral.
AGUGAUCCGCCCACCUGGGCCUCCCAAAGUGCCGGGAUUACAGGCUGAGCCACUGUGCCUGGCCUGAUCCAAGACUUUAUAAAGACAUGUAAGAGGGUGGGAGACAGAAAGCGGAAAAGGAUACAUCAAAACUAGCAAUGGAUGAAUGAGAACAUGUCCAGCCUCCAGUUAAGGCAACUGUGGCUUCAAAAAGGAAUCUUAAAUACCAGCACAGAAAUCAGAGGGAUCCUAACCUGGCUCAAAACAGAAGAGAAACAGUGGCUGGCCAUACAGCAGGACGGGCAUAACUAACAGAAUACCAGCUUUCCAGCCAUUGUUUCAUCCCUCAGCGAUACCACCUGCUUCCGCGUGGAACCCAAACCCCCAGGAAACUAAAUCUGCUCAGGUCACCCACCUAGGAAUAAAUAAAAACAGGUUUCAGGC